GAUGAACGCUGGCGGCGUGCCUAAUACAUGCAAGUCGAGCGAACAGACGAGGAGCUUGCUCCUCUGACGUUAGCGGCGGACGGGUGAGUAACACGUGGAUAACCUACCUAUAAGACUGGGAUAACUUCGGGAAACCGGAGCUAAUACCGGAUAAUAUAUUGAACCGCAUGGUUCAAUAGUGAAAGACGGUUUUGCUGUCACUUAUAGAUGGAUCCGCGCCGCAUUAGCUAGUUGGUAAGGUAACGGCUUACCAAGGCAACGAUGCGUAGCCGACCUGAGAGGGUGAUCGGCCACACUGGAAAUGGGACACGGUCCAGACUCCUACGGGAGGCAGCAGUAGGGAAUCUUCCGCAAUGGGCGAAAGCCUGACGGAGCAACGCCGCGUGAGUGAUGAAGGUCUUCGGAUCGUAAAACUCUGUUAUUAGGGAAGAACAAAUGUGUAAGUAACUAUGCACGUCUUGACGGUACCUAAUCAGAAAGCCACGGCUAACUACGUG
RNAcentral lists this ribosomal RNA (497 nucleotides) under uncultured bacterium. RNAcentral's name for it is "partial 16S ribosomal RNA". It matches the Rfam family "Bacterial small subunit ribosomal RNA", at positions 28 to 507 of the family's 1533-position model. The record is from RNAcentral.